AUGUUUCGCAACGUCAACCGCUUCACCAACCGAUGCUCUACAUGUCGCAAAGCUAAGUCUAAAGCUCAAUCUCAUGGCCUUUACAUGCCACUUCCAAUUCCAUAUCAACCAUGGGAAGAUAUUAGCAUGGAUUUUGUACUUGGUUUGCCUAGAACUAGAAAUGGAAAGGAUUUCGUCUUUGUUGUUGUGGACCAAUUCUCCAAAAUGGCUCAUUUCAUUCCUUGCAACAAGAUAGACGAUGCUUCACAUGUUGCAAAUUUGUUUUGUGGGGAAAUCUUGCGCCUUCAUGGAGUGCCAAAGACGAUUGUCUCGGACCGCGACGUCAAGUUCUUGAGUUACUUUUGGAAGACCUUGUGCGCCAAGCUCGGAAUCAAGCUUUUGUUCUCUUCGGCAUACCAUCCACAAACCGACGGCCAAACAGAGGAUAAGGGUGGUUCAGAUAUUGUUAAAGACUUUCUAAGGUUAGGAGGCAGAUAG
Molecule: ribosomal RNA, 477 nt
Filed under: Triticum aestivum (bread wheat)
Lineage: Eukaryota; Viridiplantae; Streptophyta; Magnoliopsida; Poales; Poaceae
Description: partial small subunit ribosomal RNA
Source: RNAcentral